Pygocentrus nattereri (red-bellied piranha) is the source of this 1348-nucleotide long non-coding RNA. The record is from Ensembl. Lineage: Eukaryota; Metazoa; Chordata; Actinopteri; Characiformes; Serrasalmidae.
GUUAAUGAGGAAACUGGAUUUGGCUGGUCAAGGCCCUUCACACUUAUGUGGUCUGUCAAAACCACUUCUUGCCCCAGAGAAUCCAUCAGAUCAACCUUAUUAAAAGAAAUAUGUGCCCUCUCAGUGUAAACAGAGUUUUCCACACGUUGUCCCUCUGUUUACCCACUCUUGCUCUUCCUGUUGUUAGUGUUUGAAAAGGCGGAUUUUGUCUCCGGCUUGAAACAUCCUUUCUCUUGCCUUCCUGUAGGAAAAGGGAGGAGGAAAGAGGGUCGACGAAGACCACCCACCCUUCCUCUCGCGAGGCACAAUACGAGCAGGCUGUCCGCCUUGCAACCCCCAAGGCCCGUACCAGGAGCUCCCAGGAAGUGAGCCCUCCUCAUACAUUGUGGUGUGAGUACAGUUGCCCUGUGUGGCACAUCAGCCCUGUGGUGCAGAACCCUGUCGUCUCUCCACGUGUCCUCCAACUCGCCCGCCCCAAAACUACGCACCCCGACUUCAGGAGCAACCGCCAGACAGUAGAAACACACGUAUCAUAUGCCUCAAAAACAGCUCGGACCACCCCCAGACUGGAGCAGUUGUGUUUGCCCAAACUCCGAGAGAGCAGCCUGUUCUACCAGCGCGGCAAGCCGGAGAGCCCCAUCUGGCCUGUGUCCAGAGGAGCAAAGAAGGCCACUGCAAGCGCUCGUGUGAGAGAACUGUCCACUCCAAAGACCCUCUCUAAGGACUACAUCCCUCCACGAGACCUGCGCUGCCUCUGAGCCAGAGAGAGAGAGAGAUAGAGGAAAGAAAGAUAGAAAGAGGGAUAAAGAUGUAGAUACAAAGGGAGAGAGAGAUAAACAGAGAGAGAGAGAUAAGAGGGAGAAAAAGAGAGAGAUGAAGGGAGGGAGAUGGAGAGAGAGACAGAGAGACAAAGAGAAAGUGAAUUAGAGAGAGAGAGAGAAGGGAAAGAGAGUUAAAGAGAGAGACAAAGAAAAAAAAGUUAAAAAGAGAGACAAAGGGGGAACAUUGAAAAGAGACAAGGGGAGAGAGAGAGAGACAAGGGGGAGGAGAGAAAGAGAGAUGAAGUGAGGGAGAGAGAUAUGAACAUGGAGAAAGGAAAAUAAAGAAACAAGGGGAGAGAAAGACUUAAAGAGAGAGACAAAGGUAGAGAGUGAGAGAGAGAGAGAGAGAGAGACAGACGACAAUUCAACAGAACAUUUGUGGAGUGGUUAAAUAAUAGAUUGAGAGGAGAAAAAAGAAACAGAUUAAAUAACCAGAAUGAAAAGCGUUGAAAUGGUUUGCGUGUGUUAUUAUAUUUAUCUUGUUCUCUCUUUUCUUCCCUUUCUUUCCUUUCCUGGUUUUACAAUCG